This is a long non-coding RNA of Lycium ferocissimum, 520 nucleotides long. RefSeq lists it as uncharacterized. Lineage: Eukaryota; Viridiplantae; Streptophyta; Magnoliopsida; Solanales; Solanaceae. The record is from RefSeq and is a predicted model, not a curated record. The transcript has 3 exons.
CCCAAGUAAGAUCUCUUAGUAGUCCCUUCUUCUGUUGCUUAAUUCUAUCGGCGCAUAUAAGUUCUUGUGCCUCAUUUUCACAUACAUGUCUUUAUUUUUUUGAAAUGGUAAGAAUAUGAUAGAUUGAUUGUAAACCUUUUUUGUUACUAUUAUUUUGCUGAAAUGGUAAGAAUUGUACAUGACAAAAUGGGAGUUGAUUUUAACUAAUGCAACCUUUGUUCCAUAGGUUUCUGGUUCUAUUUUCCUAAUGACUUGCCAGCGGAUUGGUCUCUAUCUUGUGGAAAAGGUAGGAUGUAAAUGUCAGCACUAACUGCUAUGUUUUUGGCGCUUUCCAGCAAUAUCUGUGAGAUUGGAGAUGAGGCAUUUAAGUGGCAAACACGUUCCUAUUUUUCCCAUUUGAAGCCACUGAGAACUAUAUAACAAGUAGCUUAUGUCCAGCUACAAUUCAAUUUAGUGAGAUCCCUGAGGAUAAAAUGCUUCUUUAGCUUACAUAUAAGGAUGGCUUCUCUCUUUUGAUAGU